RNAcentral lists this ribosomal RNA (1512 nucleotides) under uncultured bacterium. RNAcentral's name for it is "16S ribosomal RNA". It matches the Rfam family "Bacterial small subunit ribosomal RNA". The record is from RNAcentral.
AGAGUUUGAUCCUGGCUCAGAACGAACGCUGGCGGCGCGCUUAAUACAUGCAAGUCGAACGAGAACGUCCGACUUCGGUUGGACUAGUAAAGUGGCGAACGGGUGAGUAACACGUGAGGAACAUGCCCUUAUGUUUGGGAUAAGCCUGCGAAAGCGGGUCUAAUACCGGAUGUGGUCUGGGAAUGGCAUCUUUCCCUGAUCAAAGGUGGUUGAGUCUAUGCCACCGCAUGAGGAUUGCCUCGCGCUCCAUUAGCUUGAUGGUGGGGUAACGGCCCACCAUGGCUGCGAUGGAUAGCCGGCCUGAGAGGGUGAUCGGCCACACUGGGACUGAGAUACGGCCCAGACUCCUACGGGAGGCAGCAGUAGGGAAUCUUGCGCAAUGGGCGAAAGCCUGACGCAGCGACGCCGCGUGGAUGACGAAGCUCCUUGGAGUGUAAAAUCCUUUCGGUGGGGACGAACAACGGCGACAGGAAAUGGUCGCCGCCUGACUGUACCCACAAAAGAAGUCCCGGCUAACUCCGUGCCAGCAGCCGCGGUAACACGGGGGGGACAAGCGUUGUUCGGAUUCACUGGGCGUAAAGAGCACGUAGGCGGAAGGGCAAGUCAGAUGUGAAAACCCGGGGCUUAACCGCGGGCCUGCAUUUGAAACUGCUUUUCUUGAGUACCGGAGAGGAUGGCAGAAUUCCUGGUGUAGCGGUGAAAUGCGUAGAUAUCAGGAAGAAUACCGGUGGCGAAGGCGACCAUCUGGACGGAUACUGACGCUGAGGUGCGAAGGCCGGGGAGCAAACAGGAUUAGAUACCCUGGUAGUCCCGGCAGUAAACGAUGGGUACUAGGUGUUGGGGGUAUCGACCCCCUCAGUGCCGCAGUUAACGCAUUAAGUACCCUGCCUGGGGAGUACGGCCGCAAGGUUGAAACUCAAAGGAAUUGACGGGGGCCCGCACAAGCGGUGGAGUAUGUGGUUUAAUUCGACGCAACGCGAAGAACCUUACCUGGGUUUGAACUCUGUAUGACAGGUGUAGAGAUAUACCCUCCCACGGGCAGACAGAGAGGUGCUGCAUGGUUGUCGUCAGCUCGUGUCGUGAGAUGUUGGGUUAAGUCCCGCAACGAGCGCAACCCUCACUCCUUGUUGCCAUCAGGUAAAGCUGGGCACUCUAGGGGAACUGCCGGUGACAAACCGGAGGAAGGUGGGGAUGACGUCAAAUCAGCACGGCCUUUAUGUCCAGGGCUACACACGUGCUACAAUGGCCGGUACAAAGAGUUGCGAUGCCGCGAGGUGGAGCUAAUCUCAAAAAACCGGUCUCAGUUCGGAUUGCAGUCUGCAACUCGACUGCAUGAAGCCGGAAUUGCUAGUAAUCGCGGAUCAGCACGCCGCGGUGAAUACGUUCCCGGGCCUUGUACACACCGCCCGUCACACCACCCGAGUUGGCAGCACCCGAAGUGGCUGAUCUAACCCUUUCGAGGGAGGAAGGUUAUUAAGGUGAGGCGAGUAAGGGGGGUGAAGUCGUAACAAG